CGUGUGUGAAGAAGGCCUUUUGGUUGUAAAGCACUUUAAGCAGUGAAGAAGACCUAACGGUUAGUACCCGAUAGCCCGGACAUUACCUGCACAGAAAGCACAAGUU
This 106-nucleotide ribosomal RNA is filed under the name uncultured Gammaproteobacteria bacterium. RNAcentral describes it as "partial 16S ribosomal RNA". The record is from RNAcentral. Lineage: Bacteria; Pseudomonadati; Pseudomonadota; Gammaproteobacteria.